UGAACGCUGGCGGCGUGCUUCACACAUGCAAGUCGAACGAUGAAGCCCAGCUUGCUGGGUGGAUUAGUGGCGAACGGGUGAGUAACACGUGAGUAACCUGCCCUUAACUCUGGGAUAAGCCUGGGAAACUGGGUCUAAUACCGGAUAGGAGCGUCCACCGCAUGGUGGGUGUUGGAAAGAUUUAUCGGUUUUGGAUGGACUCGCGGCCUAUCAGCUUGUUGGUGAGGUAAUGGCUCACCAAGGCGACGACGGGUAGCCGGCCUGAGAGGGUGACCGGCCACACUGGGACUGAGACACGGCCCAGACUCCUACGGGAGGCAGCAGUGGGGAAUAUUGCACAAUGGGCGCAAGCCUGAUGCAGCGACGCCGCGUGAGGGAUGACGGCCUUCGGGUUGUAAACCUCUUUCAGUAGGGAAGAAGCGAAAGUGACGGUACCUGCAGAAGAAGCACCGGCUAACUACGUG
This 464-nucleotide ribosomal RNA is filed under the name uncultured bacterium. RNAcentral's name for it is "partial 16S ribosomal RNA". It matches the Rfam family "Bacterial small subunit ribosomal RNA", at positions 30 to 507 of the family's 1533-position model. The record is from RNAcentral.